UCCCAUUACGAUUUGGUUAAAAUGUAUUAUUUAAAACAAAACUACUCUGAGAUCCAAGAUACAACGUCGAGAUUAUUUACGGAGCACUGAAUGUCUCUUUCCUCAUAUGGCUCCUACAACUGAUAGCACAAGUGGGGGGUGAGGAUUCCUUGUAUUCCUCACGUUGCAUCGUUAAGAUUUGCUCCAGACUCUCCCAGUGUGUGUGUAAGAGACGCUCGGCUCCUGACCCCCUUACAGCCUUGGUUCAAACAUAGACAAAAAAGACUGAAUUCCAAAGAUUGACUGCAUGCUGCUUAAAGAGUUUAUGCAUAUGUCGGUUCCACUGAUCAUCCUCAUUUGGUGCCUCUCUACAUUGGCACAUGCACACAUGGCCCUCCUCUUGAUGUGUGAGAGAUACCAGGAAAAAUUGGCUGCCAUGGCUCACUUUCCUCAUCAUCAGACAUAUCCUUGGAGGAUACAGUUCUCACCAUCACAUCCUCCUCUGCAGGGCUUCACUCUACAACAUCAGGUUGUGCAAUGCACUGGAAACUAUGCUGAUAGGUCAUAACAUAUUUUAAUUUUUGAGAACUUGUGUUCUAAAUUGUAGGAAUGAUGUAGAUAUUUAAGUGUGAUUAUUUUUCUAUUAUAUGUUAAGUGGAAGACAUGACUUUUAGUUUCAUUUUGGAUUAGCUCUGUGAGUGGUGUUGGAUGUCAGGUGAUUUGCAAACUGCACAUAUACCAUCUAGACAAGGUGCUUUAAAGUGGAGAUAAGGUGACCAUGCACUGAGGUUUGAUUGUGUGUAAUGUUGUUGUGGGGUUAAACAUUUGUAUCUUUCUUUCUGGUAUUUGUAACAAGACCAUUUCACACAGGUCUUGGACAGUGGUAAAGUAGUUGCUGUUUUGUCU
Molecule: long non-coding RNA, 885 nt
Organism: Chiloscyllium plagiosum (whitespotted bambooshark)
Lineage: Eukaryota; Metazoa; Chordata; Chondrichthyes; Orectolobiformes; Hemiscylliidae
Source: RefSeq, a predicted model, not a curated record